AUUCCGUUUUGUUUUUCCCGCUGCCCAAGAUGGUGAGUGACGUUUCCUUUUGCUACACCGUAUCCGGGUCCCGACUUCAUCCGCUGCCAUCCUCCUCCAGGCGCGGCCUCACAGGGCCUCCUGCUCCGCCUAGCUCUAGGAGAGCCGUACCCGGUGUGGCACGGAGACACUGAGACGGACUAAAGCCCUGGGCGGCCGGAAGCGGGAUGCGCUGGUCCCGCUGCCGCUGGGCUGGAGGAGGGGGGCCGGGAGCGCCGCGGCGCGGGGCUCGGACGGGGCGGAGGCGCUCGGAGCACUAGGGAGCGGCGCCUGGUUUUUCUCAGGGCCGCCGCAGAGCCUUUGACCAACGAGUUCCGAGCCGCACCUGCUGCUUGUGGAGCCUGCGGGGCCGCGGCUCGGGCGUCCUGGGUCCCGUCCGGGGCGUCUGCUCCGUGGGCGACGCGAAGAGCGCGUGGCGUUGGCCUUAGCCGGGCUCCGGCCACUCGGGCUCCGUGCGCUGCGUGCUCGUGCGGCCCGUGGGAGACGCUCCUGCCGAGGCAUGGCGAGGACGUUCCCGGCAACCAAGGCCGCGGCUGCACAGGCUGGGGGGGCGCCGGGGGGCUUCAGCACGCAGCUCGCCCGCCUGGUUCGGCCAGGGGCCGUCGGCGCCCCUUGUUUCGAAGGCGCCAGCCUGAGACCUCCCGACGAAGGAGGCGGCGGUUUAACCGGGAUUUUCUUUGUGUCCAGCCGAAAGGAGAGAAGGCCAAGGGGGAGGAGGUGGCUCCGGCCCCUGCUGUCGUGAAGAAGCAGGAGGCCGAGAAAGUGGCGAAUCCCGUGUUUGAGCACAGGCCGAAGAAUUGCGGUAUCGGACGGGCCGUCCAACCGAAAAGAGACCUCACCCACUUUUUGAAAUGGCCCAGCUGUAUCAGGUUGCCGCGGCAGAGAGCCAUCCUUUAUAAGGGCUGAAAGCGCCUCCUGCCGUUAACCAGCUCACCCAGGCCCUGGACCGCCAAACAGCGAUCUAGCAUUUACAUUAACUGUUAAGGAGUAGAACCUUGACUACAAACCUAAACUGGAGUGUUUUCCCAGCUACUGAGCUGCUAAAGCUGGCCCAGAAGUAUAGGCCAGAGAGCGCAAGAAAAAAAGCAGAGGGUGUUGGCCCCGGGCCGAGAAGAAAGCUGCCGGCAAAGGAGAUGUCCCCAUCAAGAGACCGCCUGUCCUUCGAGCGGCUGGUAGUCUUCUUGCCUGCCCUGUGUCAGAAAAUGGGAGUCCCUUAUUGUACUAUCAAGGGGAAGGCAAGACUGGGACGUCUCCUCCACAGGAAGAUCUGCACCAUUGUCGCAUUUACCCUAGUUAAUAAGGAAGACAAAGGCGCCUUGGCUGAGCUGGUGGGAGCUGUCAGGACAGACUGCAGUGACAGAUAGGAUGAGGUAAGAGCAGCUUCACACAAAAUACUGUCAUGUGCUAAUCUUUUUCCCAAACAACUGGCUGGCUUAACGUAUGAGCAGUUCUAUUUGGUGAUCAGCUUGGAACAGCCCAACAGAACCAUGCAGUAACCUUGAAAAUCUCAGAAAACAAGAGGCUAAGCUGACUCCCUCUUUUUGUGUUUUCAGAUUCGCCGUCACUGGGGAGGUAAUGUCCUGGGUCCCAAGUCUGUGGCUCACAUCGCCAAGCCUGGAAAAAGGAAAGGCCAAAGAACUUGAAAGUGAUUCGGGGUGAAAUGUACAUAGUGGAGUUUGCUGUAAAUAAAAAUAAUUUAAAUGAUACAAAUUUUUCCUUCAGCCGAUGUCUGUUGGUAUCUUGGGUUGAAUCUUACUUGGGGUUAGCAAGUAUCUUUUUUUUGCGGGGGAGUGGGGGGAGAAGG
This is a long non-coding RNA of Sapajus apella (tufted capuchin), 1843 nucleotides long. RefSeq lists it as uncharacterized. Lineage: Eukaryota; Metazoa; Chordata; Mammalia; Primates; Cebidae. The record is from RefSeq and is a predicted model, not a curated record. The transcript is spliced from 5 exons.